Molecule: ribosomal RNA, 433 nt
Filed under: uncultured bacterium
Lineage: Bacteria
Description: partial 16S ribosomal RNA
Rfam family: Bacterial small subunit ribosomal RNA
Source: RNAcentral
AACGAACGCUGGCGGCAUGCCUAACACAUGCAAGUCGAACGAGACCUUCGGGUCUAGUGGCGCACGGGUGCGUAACGCGUGGGAACCUGCCCUUAGGUUCGGAAUAACUCCCCGAAAGGGGUGCUAAUACCGGAUAAUUUCUUCGGACCAAAGAUUUAUCGCCUUUGGAUGGGCCCGCGUUGGUUUAGCUAGUUGGUAGGGUAAAAGCCUACCAAGGCGACGAUCCAUAGCUGGUCUGAGAGGAUGAUCAGCCACACUGGGACUGAGACACGGCCCAGACUCCUACGGGAGGCAGCAGUGGGGAAUAUUGGACAAUGGGCGAAAGCCUGAUCCAGCAAUGCCGCGUGAGUGAUGAAGGCCUUAGGGUUGUAAAGCUCUUUUACCCGGGAUGAUAAUGACAGUACCGGGAGAAUAAGCGCCGGCUAACUCCGUG